UACGGGGGGGGCAAGCGUUGUUCGGAAUUACUGGGCGUAAAGGGCUCGUAGGCGGCCAACUAAGUCAGACGUGAAAUCCCUCGGCUUAACCGGGGAACUGCGUCUGAUACUGGACGGCUUGAGUUUGGGAGAGGGAUGCGGAAUUCCAGGUGUAGCGGUGAAAUGCGUAGAUAUCUGGAGGAACACCGGUGGCGAAGGCGGCAUCCUGGACCAACACUGACGCUGAGGAGCGAAAGCCAGGGGAGCAAACGGG
RNAcentral lists this ribosomal RNA (253 nucleotides) under uncultured bacterium. RNAcentral's name for it is "partial 16S ribosomal RNA". It matches the Rfam family "Bacterial small subunit ribosomal RNA", at positions 524 to 776 of the family's 1533-position model. The record is from RNAcentral.